Molecule: long non-coding RNA, 381 nt
Filed under: Gallus gallus (chicken)
Lineage: Eukaryota; Metazoa; Chordata; Aves; Galliformes; Phasianidae
Description: lncRNA (ENSGALG00010004926.1)
Source: RNAcentral
AGCGACUUCACCACCUCCCUGAAUUUGGGGUUUGGAAUGAAAGAGGAAUUGGUGCAGUAUGAGAAGAAACACCUACAAUAAGGCUCUGAUCAUUAAUCCCAGUCAAGCAAGAAGUCAUCAUGCUUCAUAGGAUCAAAGCUGAACUCAGAUCCAGGAAAGAUAUGCCCUCCUCCUGCUUCUGUUGCCCUAAACAGGAGUCAUAGGUACUACUGCUGAGCUGGAGAACACAGGUCCACAGAGCAAGAUCAGGAUAUUACUCUGUUAGGAAGACCUGGAUGGCCCCUCACUACAAGAAGACACUGAGGCCCUGGAGCGUGUCCAGAGAAGGGCAAUGAAGCUGGUGAGGUGUCUGGAGCACAAGCCUUAUGAAAAGCAGCUGAG